Molecule: ribosomal RNA, 433 nt
Filed under: uncultured bacterium
Lineage: Bacteria
Description: partial 16S ribosomal RNA
Rfam family: Bacterial small subunit ribosomal RNA
Source: RNAcentral
AACGAACGCUGGCGGCAGGCCUAACACAUGCAAGUCGAGCGCGCCCUUCGGGGUGAGCGGCGGACGGGUGAGUAACGCGUGGGAACGUGCCCUUUUCUACGGAAUAGCCUCGGGAAACUGAGAGUAAUACCGUAUACGCCCUUUGGGGGAAAGAUUUAUCGGAAAAGGAUCGGCCCGCGUUGGAUUAGGUAGUUGGUGGGGUAAUGGCCUACCAAGCCGACGAUCCAUAGCUGGUUUGAGAGGAUGAUCAGCCACACUGGGACUGAGACACGGCCCAGACUCCUACGGGAAGCAGCAGUGGGGAAUCUUAGACAAUGGGGGCAACCCUGAUCGAGCCAUGCCGCGUGAGUGAUGAAGGCCUUAGGGUUGUAAAGCUCUUUCAGCUGGGAAGAUAAUGACGGUACCAGCAGAAGAAGCCCCGGCUAACUCCGUG